Molecule: ribosomal RNA, 196 nt
Filed under: uncultured bacterium
Lineage: Bacteria
Description: partial 16S ribosomal RNA
Rfam family: Bacterial small subunit ribosomal RNA
Source: RNAcentral
ACGCUCGACACCUACGGAGGCAGCAGUGGGGAAUAUUGCACAAUGGGGGAAACCCUGAUGCAGCGACGCCGCGUGAGCGAAGAAGUAUUUCGGUAUGUAAAGCUCUAUCAGCAGGGAAGAAAAUGACGGUACCUGACUAAGAAGCACCGGCUAAAUACGUGCCGGCAGCCGCGGUAAUCUGAGCGGCUGGCAAGGC